AGGACGAACGCUGGCGGCGUGCUUAACACAUGCAAGUCGAACGAGGCGCUUGCGCCUAGUGGCGAACGGGUGAGUAACACGUGAGCAACCUGCCCUUGGCUCUGGGAUAGCCUCCGGAAACGGGGAUUAAUACCGGACAUGACCUUCUCCUGCAUGGGGGAGGGUGGAAAGUUUUUUCGGCCAGGGAGGGGCUCGCGGCCUAUCAGCUUGUUGGGGGGUAACGGCCACCAAGGCGACGACGGGUAGCC
RNAcentral lists this ribosomal RNA (248 nucleotides) under uncultured bacterium. RNAcentral describes it as "partial small subunit ribosomal RNA". It matches the Rfam family "Bacterial small subunit ribosomal RNA", at positions 26 to 288 of the family's 1533-position model. The record is from RNAcentral.